Molecule: transfer RNA, 47 nt
Filed under: Eulemur mongoz (mongoose lemur)
Lineage: Eukaryota; Metazoa; Chordata; Mammalia; Primates; Lemuridae
Description: partial tRNA-Leu
Source: RNAcentral
ACUUUUAAAGGAUAAAAGUCAUCCGUUGGUCUUAGGAACCAAAAAAU